AGACGGGGGGCGCAAGCGUUGUUCGGAAUUACUGGGCGUAAAGGGCGGGCAGGCGGUUUGCUCAGUCUUCUGUGAAAAUCCGGGGCUCAACCCCGCGAAAUGCAGAAGAUACUGGCAGACUAGAGACUGGUAGAGGCUAGCGGAAUUCCUGGUGUAGCGGUGGAAUGCGUAGAUAUCAGGAAGAACACCUGUGGCGAAGGCGGCUAGCUGGGCCAGAUCUGACGCUCAUCCGCGAAAGCGUGGGGAGCAAACAGGAUUAGAAACCCCAGUAGUCC
RNAcentral lists this ribosomal RNA (275 nucleotides) under uncultured bacterium. RNAcentral's name for it is "partial 16S ribosomal RNA". It matches the Rfam family "Bacterial small subunit ribosomal RNA", at positions 523 to 796 of the family's 1533-position model. The record is from RNAcentral.